Beta vulgaris subsp. vulgaris (sugar beet) is the source of this 3160-nucleotide long non-coding RNA. RefSeq lists it as uncharacterized. The record is from RefSeq and is a predicted model, not a curated record. NCBI's taxonomy places the organism in Eukaryota, Viridiplantae, Streptophyta, Magnoliopsida, Caryophyllales, Amaranthaceae. The transcript has 6 exons.
AUUUUAUUUUCUCAAAAAACUGAUGUUCAAUUUAAAUGUCCUAAAUUUCCCUUUUUUCAUUCAAAUGAAACAAUUAGUUAUCCUCUAUUUUUUUUCCUUUUUUUUUCUUUUUCUAUAUUUUUGGUGUCCCCCAUAUGUUGCCUUAUAUAAUAACUAGUCUUACAUGCACGCAAUGCGUGCGAACGCGUGAUAACAAAUAAAGUAGAAAAAAUAAAAUUAGUUGGAUAGAAAAACUAUCUUUACAUUUUAUUUUCUCAAAAAAAUGAUGUUGAGUUUAAAUAUCCUACUUUCCCUCCUUUUUUCGUUCAAAUGAAACGGUUAGUAAUCCUCUUUUUUUCUUUUCUUUUUUUCCUUUUUUUAAUUUUUUGGUGUCCCCCAUGUGUUGCCUUAUAUAAUAGAGAUUUUCUAAAAGCUAUUUACAAAAUCGAUGUUCAACAGUUCAAGUUGUCUGAGUUUUGUUAUUUCUGCAGAUUUGAUUCCAAAUUUAAUCUAAACUGUCAGAUGUUAUUGGUGUAGUAAUGCAGAUGAGGUAUUUGGGACGUAAGACUUGAAAGCAGCCAAGCAGGGCAAAUGUAAGGGUACCCAAUUACCCAUACUUUCAAAUACCUCACUUGAAAAGAUUUGCGCCUAAAUAUCCAGGAUCUAAGAUAAGAUCCUCUCCAAGUGAGCCAACUUUUGUUUGGUUUCAAGUCCUUUUUUUAAUUGCUCGUGAUAAAGUGAUGAUGCUCGUAUUAGGAAGGAGUUUGUGUGUGUGUGUGUGUGGUGGGGGGGGAGUCUCCCCAUAUACAUAUUUUUGUUUUGGCUAUUUGGUUGAUUAGGUAAUUCCAAAGAUAUUAAAAUUAUCCUUUUUUAAUGAGAUACUACAUCCGUUUCCGAAAGAUCUUUCUUGUUACUAUUACUACAGAUACCAAUGAGAAUUAAUUUGUAUGGGGUGUGGGGUGGGUAAAGUAUGAGAGAGAAAGGGUUAAGAUAAAUAAACAAAUAAAAAGAUGUUAAAGUAGGAGAGAGAAAGGGAGUAAAAUUGAAUUAAUAAUGUCAUGAUGGACCAUAUGAUAGGGACAUGAGAGGGUAAAUAGGGGAAAAAAAUUCUAAAUAAGAAAUAAAGUAAAAGAAGGAAGAUCUUUUGGAAACGCACUUAAACGGAAUGAGGGAACAUCUUUAGGAUACGGAGGGAGUAGUAUAUUUUAUAAAUUUUCUUACCAAAAUAUAUCUCAUAACAUAAAACAUUAUGUCAAAGACUCCUUAAUGGCAUAUAUCGACUAAAAAGUCAAUUUUUUGCCAUAGAAACCCUAUACUUCCUUUCUCCCGCUUUUCGGCCACAAAAUUUGCUCAAACAUAGUACCUCCUCUUCUUUCUCACAUUUUGUUCUCAUUUUCUUUUGUAUGUUUCUCUCUUUUUAAUUUGAUUUUUCCAUUUGGUAAUUGAAUAAAAGUAUUUGAAAAACCUUCAUUUGAAGUUUGUUAAUACUUGAUAAUUUUUCAUACUUAGUUAGUGUGCAAGCUAUUCCUUAAUUAUAAAUUUAAAUUGAAUUGUCAAUUUAAGUCAAAUUUUGCAAUUAAUUGCCAAAAUUUGACUUUGUUGUUGGCCAUAGCAUCGAGGUACCUUUUCAAAAAGAUAUUAUUUUAUGAGAUAUUUUUGUUAAGAAAUUUGUUAAAGGUAGAAUCUUAAAAAACAACACAAACUUUUAUAUGAGGUUGGCCACACCUUGAAUAAAUGGUGUGGCCACCUAAUAUAAAAGCCCGAUAUAACCGACCCCAAUGCAAGCAAUCCGUUUUUUGAGCCCAUUUCUCUUUGCGCGAUGCCAGUUUAGCCCAUUUCUCUCUCUCUCUCUUUCUUUCUCUCUCUCUUUUUCUUCUCUGCCAAGUUGAGCCCAUUUCUCUCUCCAGUCCGUUUUUUCUUCUUUCUUUUUCUGGCAGUUCGUAACCUCCAUCAUCAAGGGUUUGGUUUUCAUUUUCGUUCUUGAGUUUUAUGUUGUUCGAAUUGUUUGCGGAAUUAUGGCUAGAGUAAAGACUACAUCUCGUCGUCGUCGGAGUGAUGGUGGUCGCAGCGUUUAUGGUCCGAGUGAUGGUGGUCGUGGUUGAAAAGGUAAUUUUGCGUUUUUCAAUUUUUUUUUUCAUUGUUUUUAUUGCGGAAUUAUGGUUAUUUUGUUUGAUUAUGAUUGUUUUUUCUUUUUUUUUUUCUAUUUUAUAAGUUUUUGAGUUUCAAUUUAUAGUUGAUUGUUGGUGGACUUGCAGGUUUAGUUGAAUUUUAGUUGAUUCUUUUGGUUUUGAGUUAAAUUGAUGAUAGUUAUUCUUUUUGUUUUGGCUAAUUUAUUUGUAACCUUUGUUUGAUUUGUUAGUUACCCUAGGUUUGAAGUAUAUGUUGGAAGCAGAACCAACUCCUACAAAUAUAGAAGAGUUCUCCUCCGGGCUUUUGCAUGGGACUGUUCCAAUGUUCUUUAAGUCAAAGGGUAUACCAGAUAAUGAUAACACUACUGUCCAGAUUGCCGUGGGGAAGACAUUUAAUUUGAUGACCUGGUCCUCAGCAACUCCAAGAAUGUUUUUCUUGAGGUCUACACACCAUGGUGCAUGACUUGUGAUGCUGUGAGCAAGCAAGCAAGUAGAAAAAUUGGCGAAAUAUUUCAGAGGGUUAGAAAAUCUAAGCUUUGCAAGGAUAGAUGCUUCUGCAAAUGAGCAUCCCAAACUUCAGGUCACAGACUACCUGACACUACUGUUUUAUCUAGCAGCGGAUAAAUCAAAUCCAAUUGCAUUGCCUGCAAAGUCCAGUUUGAAGUAUUUGGGAGCGUUCAUCAAGAAAAAUGUUAAAGCUGAAGAACAUGCAUAUAAAGAUGAAUUGUAGAAUGCAGAAUCCUUCUUUCGUUAAAUAGUAUACUAGUGUUUACAUUGCCAAAUAUCUUAACUUCAGCAAAAUCACUAGUAUAAGAAGAGGUUUAGAAAACAUUUGUGUAGAUUCCAAGAAGAUUAACUUUAUGAAAACAAUUUUAUAAUAGAAACCACAGUAAUUUUAGACUGAUUUUUUAUGAGGGAAGAAGAUGUUGGUUCCUGAUCCAAUGGAAUGGUCCAUCUUUCCUUACAUUUGUAAGUGUGAACUACUCAUAGGAAUUGAUGUGAGGCCCAUAUCAAGUAAACUUACCAAAUUACCCGUGCAUGUUUACUGAUGU